AAUCAUGGCUCAGGAUUAACGCUGGCGGCGUGCCUAAUACAUGCAAGUCGAAUGGUAGCAAUACCAUGGCGAACGGGUGAGUAACACGUAGGUAACCUGUCUUUAAGCCGAGGAUAACCAUUGGAAACGAUGGAUAAUACUGGAUAGGACAUUUGAAGGCAUCUUUAGAUGUUUAAAGAUUUAUCACUUAGAGAGGGGCCUGCGGCGCAUUAGCUAGUUGGUGAGGUGAAGGCUUACCAAGGCGAUGAUGCGUAGCCGGACUGAGAGGUUGAACGGCCACAAUGGAACUGAGAACGGUCCAUACUCCUACGGGAGGCAGCAGUAGGGAAUUUUCGGCAAUGGGCGGAAGCCUGAACCCGAGCAACGCCGCGUGAACGAAGAAGUAUUUCGGUAUGUAAAGUUCUUUUAUUAGGGACGAAAAGACAGAUUGACGGUACCUAAUGAAUAAGCUCCGGCUAACUACGUGCCAGCAGCCGC
RNAcentral lists this ribosomal RNA (477 nucleotides) under uncultured bacterium. Its description in RNAcentral is "bacterial SSU rRNA". It matches the Rfam family "Bacterial small subunit ribosomal RNA", at positions 15 to 518 of the family's 1533-position model. The record is from RNAcentral.